Molecule: long non-coding RNA, 324 nt
Filed under: Manihot esculenta (cassava)
Lineage: Eukaryota; Viridiplantae; Streptophyta; Magnoliopsida; Malpighiales; Euphorbiaceae
Description: long non-coding RNA (MESC_LNC007888)
Source: RNAcentral
GGGCCUCAAAAUAUCAAAUACCCCAACUACAACACUUCAAACACCCACAAUCAACACACAUUGACCAAAACAUCAAUAUUAACCCAUAACUCAACAUAUAACCUAACAUGCAUUUCUACCCAUAGAUCUAGCAUAAAACUUACUUAAAACAUAUAAGGAGCUUAAGAUCGGCCCUUACCUCUUGAAGAUCGAUAGGGAGACGACCUAAACUUGGAGAUUCACGAAAAUGAGCUCCUGAGUUCCCAAAGCUCCAAAACUUGGUUUAAAUGUUCAAAACUUGCAAUGUGAGUUUAAAACUCAAGAAAAAUGGAAGAGAUUUGGAGG